GCCCACUAGAGCAAUUCAUUCCCACCACUGCACCGUACACCUCCACCCCCACUGCACCAUAAAACCACCAUCGCACCCACAGCACCACAGUAGAACAUCACCUUUGUACCCACCAGAACUCUCUGUUUUCAUCACCGCACCACACAUCUCCAUCACCAUCGAACCACAGAACCAUCACCAAACCGUCAAUCACCACAAUACUCAAAAAUUUUAAAAAGGAAGAAUAGAUUUGCAACGUGCAAUUCGUCGGAGUGAGUUUCAUGAGGAGUCGCGUGGAGUGGGUGAAAUAAAGUAGAGGGGAGAUCUACAGCACCGGCCACCUGUCCCAACAUGAAGUGCUCCAUACCAUCCCACCAUCAUCGUCGUUCGCUUUGUGCAGUGGAGAUCAACACCCAUAAUCACUGCAAAUAGCACAAAAGAAACCAUUGAAAAUCAAACACAAGGGGAAAAAGAAGAAGAAGAAGGCAAUGAGCGUCACUAAUUCAAAGAAAAGGCGAUGAGUGCACGACGCUCCGAGGUGGUGGCCUACGUCGGACUGUGAUGAUAGUGUCUCCAGCGAUGACGGGUGGCGUCUGUGGUGUUGUAGCCAUAGGGGAGAGUGAAUGAUAAAAUUAAUUUUGAUUAAUUAUUAAAAUUAUAUUUUUGAUUGAUUAUUAAUUUUAUAAUUUUUUUAAUAAAUAUUAAAUUAUUAAUUAUAUCUGAAAGAUGAAAGAUGAAACUUAAAAAUCUGAUUUACACAUUGGAAUAUCCUUUUAAUAUUGAGAAAAUUACCACAAACCAUACCUUUGAAGUUUUACUUAAAAGUCAAGUACCAAUACACACACACACACACACACACACACACUCCGCUC
RNAcentral lists this long non-coding RNA (851 nucleotides) under Olea europaea (common olive). Its description in RNAcentral is "long non-coding RNA (OEUR_LNC015213)". Lineage: Eukaryota; Viridiplantae; Streptophyta; Magnoliopsida; Lamiales; Oleaceae. The record is from RNAcentral.